CAUAUCAGCCUGUCAUGUUGGACGUGUAGAUAUCGUCAAAAAGCCCUAUUAGGUGCGGCUAGGGUUUUGAAACAGUAUCUUUGAAUAACUAGGGUUUAUUGUUCUCUAUAAAUCGCGCCAUUGGCACAAAACGAGUGCAUUGCCGUUCCUUCCCCUGCCCUACGCUAGGUUUGUUCAACCUUUUCUCUCCGUGCUUUCUCUAUUUUUUUGUUUCGCACAUUGGAGAUCUAAUAGGCUCUUUCCUCCCGAUUCUUACCAUUUAGAAACGGAUGCUGUGAUAUAAUUUCUCAGAUAGUAUAGAUCUAAUUGUUUCUGUGUUCGUAUAUCUUUCUAGAAUCUUGAUAUCUUUUUGUUGAAGUCUUCGAGUUGGUGAAAGCAUUUUUAUUGGAUGAUUCUUUCGAUGAAGUUAUUCAAUCUGUUCUUCGACGCGUAUGAUAAGGCUUGGUUGCGAUGAUUAUAAAAUUUUUAUGUUCUGAAUGCUAAUGCCAUGGCAUGACAGACACUUUACACCCAUAGAAUAUGAGCAUCGUGCCUUCAGUUUUUUUUUUUUUAAUACUCUUUGGUUCUGUUCUUCUCUGCUUUACGUUACUGGAAUCUUCCUUAAAUGAUUAUACCUCUAGCUUCAUUAGAUUCAAUCUCUUCAUUAGAUUCACUUGUUUGAUUAAUUUGAUUGACUGAGAUUCGAGUUGUAUAUGUGUAGCUGUAUUAUUGAAUUGUUUGUUACUCUAGUUGAGGCAGAACCAUAGCAUAUUGUUUCUUGUUCUAAUUGUUGGAUGAUAGCCCCUCUCGCCUAAUUUAGGGAAUGAUCUUGAGUUUAUAAUCAAGGAAUAUUUUUUCCAUUGGUAUGAUGCCUUUUUGUGAGCCCAAAGGAAAACCAUGAGAGCUUAUACUCAAAGUGGAUAAUACCAUACCAUUGUGUAGAGUUGUGUAGAGUAGUGUUCAUCUAACAUGACAUCAGACCCAUGCUCUAAAUUUAGCCAUGUCAAUUGAAUGCUCAAAUGUUGAACAAAGAACUCCAAAAGAAAAAGGAGUUGAGGCUCCUCGAAGGCAUAGUAAAAAAUGGCUAAGACUCCAAAAGGAGUUGGUCCUUAAUUAAGGGGAGGCAUACUUUGAUCAAGGGGAGGUGUUGGAUGAAAGUCCCACAUAAGACUCAUUUAGGGAAUGAUCAUGGGUUUAUAAUCGAGGAAUACUAUCUCCAAUAUUGGUACGAGGUAUUUUAGGGAAGCUCAAACCAAAACUACGAGAGCUUAUGCUCAAAGUAGAUAAUAUCAUAUCGUUGUGGAGAGUUUGUUCAUUUAACACAAAUGAUAUUGUUCUAUUAUCGACUCGAGUAAGUCUUGUUUAGAUGACACUAUUUUUGGAUACUCUUGUUGGAUAUAUAAUCGUAUAUUCACAGGGCAUGUUCUCGAACUGCAUUGUGUGUCUCUGCAAGUCCUAUGAAGAUAUUGGAGGUGGUGCUUAAAGCUCUAACUUGGCAGUUUUUCUGUACAAUUGUAUAUAUUGAGCUUUUGUGGUCAUACAUACAGCCAUAAAUUCAACCAUAUGAGUCAUAAUUUAAAUUAAUAUAUUCCAAUAUAUUAUGUUUUAUCUAUAUAUUAAAAACCAGCGGAUUCAAAAUCGGGUCGGGUUGACCUUGAACCCGGAACCCAGUAGCCCAAUAAGUAGCGCAACAUAAACUCGCCUCAUGGCCCAAGCCCAUCGCAAUCUAUAAUCCAGAACCACGCAGAUGUGGCCCACGACACUUGGUCUAAUCUUGUGCCCAAUGUCUUCUAGCGCAGGCUCUCAGCUCAAUUACAACAGAUGCAUGGCCCACUAGCGGAAUGUAGCUUGCUCUAUUAUCGCAAGUGAACGACCUGUCACCCGCACACUGACCCGAGGAUCCAACCGCGCCUCCCCCACAUGUGGCGCGUUUGCUAGCCGUAGCUCAACCACGGCUAGACCAACGUUCGUCUCCCAUGUUCCUCGGCGGCUCUAACAUGUUGCAACUCCGUGGGCCAUAUAGAUUGACUUGUGUUCUAAAGGAUAGACUUAAACUACCAUGAGGAUAAAUGAGUGAUUUUGACUCAGGUCAACUAUGUAAAUGCAUUCAUUGUUGGAUUGGUUGAACGAUUGAUGCAUAAACCUUCCUAUGCCAUGCCAUUUAAAAUAUGUUAACAUGUUAUCUUAAUGCAUACGAGACAUAAGGAAGUCAUGUACGCUGGACAUUCAUGCACCAUGCCAUAUAAAAUUUUAGGGAAGCCACGCUU
Cucurbita moschata (crookneck pumpkin) is the source of this 2246-nucleotide long non-coding RNA. RefSeq lists it as uncharacterized. Lineage: Eukaryota; Viridiplantae; Streptophyta; Magnoliopsida; Cucurbitales; Cucurbitaceae. The record is from RefSeq and is a predicted model, not a curated record. The transcript is spliced from 2 exons.